This 382-nucleotide ribosomal RNA is filed under the name uncultured bacterium. RNAcentral describes it as "bacterial SSU rRNA". It matches the Rfam family "Bacterial small subunit ribosomal RNA", at positions 28 to 412 of the family's 1533-position model. The record is from RNAcentral.
GACGAACGCUGGCGGCGUGCUUAACACAUGCAAGUCGAGCGGUAAGGCCCUUUCGGGGGUACACGAGCGGCGAACGGGUGAGUAACACGUGGGUGACCUGCCCUUAGCUCUGGGAUAAGCCUGGGAAACUGGGUCUAAUACCGGAUAUGACUCCAUGACGCAUGUUGUGGGGUGGAAAGCCUUGUGCGGCUAGGGAUGGGCCCGCGGCCUAUCAGCUUGUUGGUGGGGUGAUGGCCUACCAAGGCGACGACGGGUAGCCGGCCUGAGAGGGCGACCGGCCACACUGGGACUGAGACACGGCCCGGACUCCUACGGGAGGCAGCAGUGGGGAAUCUUGCGCAAUGGGCGAAAGCCUGACGCAGCGACGCCGCGUGGGGAUGAC